Molecule: ribosomal RNA, 733 nt
Filed under: Paenibacillus polymyxa
Lineage: Bacteria; Bacillati; Bacillota; Bacilli; Caryophanales; Paenibacillaceae
Description: partial 23S ribosomal RNA
Rfam family: Bacterial large subunit ribosomal RNA
Source: RNAcentral
AGGUUAAGCUACAAAGAGCACACGGAGGAUGCCUAGGCGCCAGGAGCCGACGAAGGACGUGGCGAACAACGAUAACGCCUCGGGGAGCUGUAAGCAAGCUUUGAUCCGGGGAUGUCCGAAUGGGGAAACCCGGCUGUCUUCAUCGACAGUCACUACUCACUGAAUUCAUAGGUGAGUGAGAGGCAGACCAGGGGAACUGAAACAUCUAAGUACCCUGAGGAAGAGAAAACAAUAGUGAUUCCGUCAGUAGCGGCGAGCGAACGCGGAUUAGCCCAAACCAAGGAGCUUGCUCCUUGGGGUUGUGGGACGUCUCACAUGGAGUUACAAAGGAACCGGUUAGAUGAAGAGGUCUGGAAAGGCCCACCAGAGAAGGUAAAAGCCCUGUAGUUCAAAACUUGUUCCCUCCGAGACGGAUCCCGAGUAGUGCGGGGCACGUGAAACCCCGUAUGAAUCCGGCAGGACCAUCUGCCAAGGCUAAAUACUCCCUGGCGACCGAUAGUGAAGCAGUACCGUGAGGGAAAGGUGAAAAGCACCCCGGAAGGGGAGUGAAAUAGAUCCUGAAACCGUGUGCUUACAAGAAGUCAGAGCCCGAUCUAUGGGUGAUGGCGUACCUUUUGUAGAAUGAACCGGCGAGUUACGUUCCCGUGCAAGGUUAAGGUGAAGAGCUGAAGCCGCAGCGAAAGCGAGUCUGAAUAGGGCCAAUGAGUACGUGGACGUAGACCCGAAACCGGGU